Molecule: long non-coding RNA, 395 nt
Organism: Panicum hallii
Lineage: Eukaryota; Viridiplantae; Streptophyta; Magnoliopsida; Poales; Poaceae
Exons: 2
Source: RefSeq, a predicted model, not a curated record
GAAGCCUAGGAGAGCCGCCGACUCCAACUAUCGUCCAUGUACGAUCCAUACUAGAUCUGACCAACUGCCCAUCCUACCUCCUCUACCUUUUUGAUAGCCCAUCUUUUUGUCUCAGUAGAGGAGGUAGGAUGGGCAGUUGGUCAGAUCUAGUAUGGAUCGUACAUGGACGAUAGUUGGAGUCGGCCGCUCUCCUAGGCUUCCCUCAUCUGGGAUCCCUGGGGGAAGAGGAUCAAGUUGGCCCUUGCGAAUAGCUUGAUGCACUAUCUCCCUUCAACCCUUUGAGCGAAAUGUGGCAAAAGAAAGGAAAAUCCAUGGACCGACCCCAUUGUCUCCACCCCGUAGGAACUACGAGAUCACCCCAAGGACGCCUUCGGCGUCCAGGGGUCACGGACCGA